AGAGUUUGAUCAUGGCUCAGGAUGAACGCUAGCGACAGGCUUAACACAUGCAAGUCGAGGGGCAGCGGGGAGCAGCAAUGCUCUGCCGGCGACCGGCGGACGGGUGAGUAACGCGUAUGCAACCAACCUACCAGCGGGGGAUAAUCCACCGAAGGGUGGUCUAAGACCGCAUAAGACAGGGGCACCGCAUGGUGCUAUUUGUUAAAGGGAACACUGGUAGACGGGCAUGCGUUCCAUUAGGCAGUUGGAGGGGUAACGGCCCACCAAACCGACGAUGGAUAGGGGUUCUGAGAGGAAGGUCCCCCACAUUGGUACUGAGACACGGACCAAACUCCUACGGGAGGCAGCAGUGAGGAAUAUUGGUCAAUGGGCGGAAGCCUGAACCAGCCAAGUCGCGUGAAGGAAGAAGGAUCUAUGGUUUGUAAACUUCUUUUGAAGGGGGAUAAAGUGCGUCACGAGUGGUGCAUUGCAGGUACCCUUGGAAUAAGCAUCGGCUAACUCCGUGCCAGCAGCCGCGGUAAUACGGAGGAUGCGAGCGUUAUCCGGAUUUAUUGUGUUUAAAGGGUGCGUAGGUGGCUUUUUAAGUCAGCGGUGAAAACUGGCGGCUCAACCGCAAGAGUGCCGUUGAAACUGGGGAGCUAGAGUAUGAACGAGGUACGCGGAAUGGUGUGGUGGUACCGGUUGAAAUGCAUAGAUUAUCACGAAAACUCCGGAUAGCGGAAGGCAGCUUACCAGGCCAUAACAGAUACUGAGCACGAAGGCGGUGGGGGAUCGAACAGGAUUAGAUACCCUGUAGUCCCACGCAGUAACGAUGAUUACACUAGGAGUUGGCAAUAACAGUAAGCUCUCGAGCGAAGCAUAGUCAUCAGCUGGGGGAGUACGCAGCCACGAUGCACUCAAGUAUGAAGCGGACCGUCAAGCGGACGAACGUGUGAUUAAGUCCGAUGA
This 948-nucleotide ribosomal RNA is filed under the name uncultured bacterium. RNAcentral's name for it is "bacterial SSU rRNA". It matches the Rfam family "Bacterial small subunit ribosomal RNA", at positions 8 to 957 of the family's 1533-position model. The record is from RNAcentral.